GUCAAGAUAGCUGAGUUGGUUUAAAGUGCCAUUUUUAGUUAUUGGUCCGAAAGGGCAUUGGUUCAAAUCCCAGUAUUGACA
RNAcentral lists this transfer RNA (81 nucleotides) under Ipomoea nil (Japanese morning glory). It matches the Rfam family "tRNA". Rfam says of the family: Transfer RNA (tRNA) molecules are approximately 80 nucleotides in length. Their secondary structure includes four short double-helical elements and three loops (D, anti-codon, and T loops). The record is from Rfam by way of RNAcentral. Lineage: Eukaryota; Viridiplantae; Streptophyta; Magnoliopsida; Solanales; Convolvulaceae.